RNAcentral lists this long non-coding RNA (204 nucleotides) under Malus domestica (apple). RNAcentral's name for it is "long non-coding RNA (MDOM_LNC019313)". Lineage: Eukaryota; Viridiplantae; Streptophyta; Magnoliopsida; Rosales; Rosaceae. The record is from RNAcentral.
ACAAAAAUGUAUAUAUUUUUUUUUUAUAAAUACCUAACCAGCAUCUUCCACCUUACACCAAAAAGUAAAAACCAUUUUUUACAAGUUUAGAGGCUAUCUUUGGCACAUAAAGUACAUCUUUUAAUUCCAAAACAAAACCUGAAGACAAUUUCAAUUUUACUUUUCCAACAGCUUCAACUACAACUUUUGUCCCUUACCCCACAA